This 253-nucleotide ribosomal RNA is filed under the name uncultured bacterium. RNAcentral's name for it is "partial 16S ribosomal RNA". It matches the Rfam family "Bacterial small subunit ribosomal RNA", at positions 524 to 776 of the family's 1533-position model. The record is from RNAcentral.
UACGAAGGGGGCUAGCGUUGCUCGGAAUCACUGGGCGUAAAGGGUGCGUAGGCGGGUCUUUAAGUGAGGGGUGAAAUCCUGGAGCUCAACUCCAGAACUGCCUUUGAUACUGAGGAUCUUGAGUUCGGGAGAGGUGAGUGGAACUGCGAGUGUAGAGGUGAAAUUCGUAGAUAUUCGCAAGAACACCAGUGGCGAAGGCGGCUUACUGGCACGAUACUGACGCUGAGGCACGAAAGCGUGGGGAGCAAACAGG